AUGCACGGCGUGGGCCCGUCGGACGACGCCGCGGCGGCGGCGGCGCUGGAGCUGCAGGAGUCCGGGUGGGAGGAGCUGCGGCGGGAGGCGCGGAAGCUGGAGGGGGACCUGGACGUGAAGCUCUCCUCGUACGCGCGCCUCGCCGCGCGCUCCUCCUCCGCCUCCGCCUCGGCCUCGGCCUCGGCGGCCUCCCCCACCGCCGACCGCUCCUCCUGGAAGUCCACGGAGCUCGAGAUCCAGGCGCUGCUCGACAAGCUGCAGGACGUCAACGACGCCAUGAGCCGCUGCGCCGCGCCCGCCGCCCCCGCCACCGCUUCCGUCUCCCAGAAGCUCGCGCGCCACCGCGACAUCCUGCACGAGUUCACGCAGGAGUUCAGGAGGACGCGGGGGAACCUGAGCUCCAUGAGGGAGCACGCCGACCUGCUCAGCUCCGUGCGCGGCGACAUCACCGAGUCCAAGGCUACCGGCGGCAUGUCGCCGAGGGUACAUUUGCUCCGGGAGAGGGCUUCCAUUCACGGCAGCGUCAACCAGAUAGACGAGGUAAUUGGGCAAGCUCAAAGCACAAGAGCAGCCCUAUCCAAUCAGAGGGCCUUGUUUGGAGAUGUUCAGGGGAAAGUCAAGCAGUUGGGUGAAAAAUUCCCUGUGGUCCGAGGCCUCCUUGGCGCCAUCAAGAGGAAGAAAUCAAAGGACACGAUCAUCCUUUCAGCAGUAAUCGCGGCCUGCACCAUCUUUUUGAUCAUCUACUGGCUCUCAAAAUGA
Molecule: ribosomal RNA, 759 nt
Filed under: Triticum aestivum (bread wheat)
Lineage: Eukaryota; Viridiplantae; Streptophyta; Magnoliopsida; Poales; Poaceae
Description: partial small subunit ribosomal RNA
Source: RNAcentral